This 67-nucleotide transfer RNA is filed under the name Tupaia nicobarica (Nicobar tree shrew). RNAcentral describes it as "tRNA-Val". It matches the Rfam family "tRNA". Rfam says of the family: Transfer RNA (tRNA) molecules are approximately 80 nucleotides in length. Their secondary structure includes four short double-helical elements and three loops (D, anti-codon, and T loops). Further hydrogen bonds mediate the characteristic L-shaped molecular structure. tRNAs have two regions of fundamental functional importance: the anti-codon, which is responsible for specific mRNA codon recognition, and the 3' end, to which the tRNAs corresponding amino acid is attached (by aminoacyl-tRNA synthetases). tRNAs cope with the degeneracy of the genetic code in two manners: having more than one tRNA (with a specific anti-codon) for a particular amino acid; and 'wobble' base-pairing, i.e. permitting non-standard base-pairing at the 3rd anti-codon position. Lineage: Eukaryota; Metazoa; Chordata; Mammalia; Scandentia; Tupaiidae. The record is from RNAcentral.
CAAAACGUAGCUUAACUCCAAAGCAUCUGGCUUACACCCAGAAAAUGUCGCCUAGCGACCGUUUUGA